AAGUCGUAACAAGGUUUCCGUAGGUGAACCUGCGGAAGGAUCAUUAAUGAGUUGUGAUGGGGUUUGAUGCUGGCAGCCAAUUUUUGGAUGCAUGUGCUUGCCCUAACAAUCAUCUUCCAAACACCUGUGCACAUUUUUGAGGGAGUUUCGAGUUUUAUUGCCGUUUUUGGUGAUUUUCUUGUAUUCCCUUGAAUUAUUAUACGCUGUUAACAAUGAUGAACGUGCUCUGUGCCGCAAGGCCAUUAAUAUAAUACAACUUUUAACAACGGAUCUCUUGGCUCUCGCAUCGAUGAAGAACGCAGCGAAAUGCGAUAAGUAAUGUGAAUUGCAGAAUUCAGUGAAUCAUCGAAUCUUUGAACGCACCUUGCGCUCCCUGGUAUUCCGGGGAGCACGCCUGUUCGAGUGUCGCGAAAUUUCUCAAGCUUGGAUGGCCUUUUUGUCUGUCCUUAGCCUUGGUUGUUGGGCUUUGCCGUGUCCUUUGUUGGGACGGCUGGCCUUAAAAGCAUUAGCUGAUCCUCGUGUGGCACUGGUUCUACUCAGCGUGAUAACAGUCUGAUCGCUGAGGACAUCUUUUGGGAUGGCCAGUUCUCAUUUGGGUUGCUUCCAAACUUGGUUUUGCAGAUUCUUCAAUCUGUGUUCCACUUUUCAGCUUUGACCUCGAAUCAGGUGGGACUACCCGCUGAACUUAAGCAUAUCAAUAAGCGGAGGAAAAGAAACUAACAAGGAUUCCCCUAGUAACGGCGAGUGAAGCGGGAAGAGCUCAAAUUUAAAAUCUGGCAAUCUUUGGUUGUCCGAAUUGUAAUCUAGAGAAGCGUUUUCCGUGCUGGACUGUGUACAAGUUUCCUGGAUACGGAACAUCAUAGAGGGUGAGAAUCCCGUCCUUGACACAGACUCCCAGCACUUUUGUGAUGCGCUCUCGACGAGUCGAGUUGUUUGGGAUUGCAGCUCAAAAUGGGAGGUAAAUUCCUUCUAAAGCUAAAUAUUGGCGAGAGACCGAUAGCGAACAAGUACCGUGAGGGAAAGAUGAAAAGCACUUUGGAAAGAGAGUUAAACAGUACGUGAAAUUGUUAAAAGGGAAACGCUUGAAGUCAGUCACGUUUGCUUGGACUCAGCCUUACUUCGGUUUGGUGCAUUUCCUUGCAGACGGGCCAGCGUCCAUGUCAAUUGCCGGAAAAGGGGUGAGAGAAUGUGGCUCCUUUGGGAGUGUUAUAGCUCUCACUCGUAUGCGGGGAAUGAUAUGGAGUGGUACAGCACACUUCGGUGGUGCUUGUGCUGGCAUAAUGGCUUUAAACGACC
This 1296-nucleotide ribosomal RNA is filed under the name uncultured Clavulina. RNAcentral's name for it is "eukaryotic LSU rRNA". The stretch from base 653 to 1296 matches the Rfam family "Eukaryotic large subunit ribosomal RNA", at positions 1 to 649 of the family's 3401-position model. Lineage: Eukaryota; Fungi; Basidiomycota; Agaricomycetes; Cantharellales; Hydnaceae. The record is from RNAcentral.